RNAcentral lists this ribosomal RNA (320 nucleotides) under uncultured bacterium. RNAcentral's name for it is "bacterial SSU rRNA". It matches the Rfam family "Bacterial small subunit ribosomal RNA", at positions 470 to 789 of the family's 1533-position model. The record is from RNAcentral.
UGACGGUACCUGACUAAGAAGCUCCGGCUAACUACGUGCCAGCAGCCGCGGUAAUACGUAGGUGGCAAGCGUUGUCCGGAUUUAUUGGGCGUAAAGGGAACGCAGGCGGUUUUUUAAGUCUGAUGUGAAAGCCUUCGGCUCAACCGAAGAAUUACAUUGGAAACUGGAAGACUUGAGUGCAGAAGAGGAGAGUGGAACUCCAUGUGUAGCGGUGGAAUGCGUAGAUAUAUGGAAGAACACCAGUGGCGAAAGCGGCUCUCUGGUCUGUAACUGACGCUGAGGUUCGAAAGCGUGGGUAGCAAACAGGAUUAGAUACCCUG